Molecule: unclassified non-coding RNA, 283 nt
Filed under: Ambisporaceae sp.
Lineage: Eukaryota; Fungi; Glomeromycota; Glomeromycetes; Archaeosporales; Ambisporaceae
Description: partial contains 5.8S ribosomal RNA and internal transcribed spacer 2
Rfam family: 5.8S ribosomal RNA (bases 1-71)
Source: RNAcentral
GUGAAUCAUCGAAUUUUUGAACGCAUAUUGCACUCUCUGGUAUUCCGGAGAGUAUGCCUGUUUGAGGGUCAUUAAAACGAAUCUUUAACCAAUUUUUUUUGGUCAAAGUAAAUGAGCUCUCCGCGUUUAUAGCGGUAGCUUUAAAUAAAUGGUCAAGUCUCAUUUUAGUCGAGACGCGUAAUAAUAUUAUUUCGCGCAAUCUUCAUUAUGUGCCUAUCACUUUUUGAUGCAUCCAAAUUUGCUUUGUAUUCGCUCCUUCCACAUCUUUUGAACAUUACCUCAA